RNAcentral lists this ribosomal RNA (229 nucleotides) under Penicillium ochrochloron. Its description in RNAcentral is "partial 28S ribosomal RNA". It matches the Rfam family "Eukaryotic large subunit ribosomal RNA", at positions 1 to 226 of the family's 3401-position model. Lineage: Eukaryota; Fungi; Ascomycota; Eurotiomycetes; Eurotiales; Aspergillaceae. The record is from RNAcentral. RNAcentral also lists the same sequence under 2 other names.
GGUUGACCUCGGAUCAGGUAGGGAUACCCGCUGAACUUAAGCAUAUCAAUAAGCGGAGGAAAAGAAACCAACAGGGAUUGCCUCAGUAACGGCGAGUGAAGCGGCAAGAGCUCAAAUUUGAAAGCUGGCCCCCUCGGGGUCCGCAUUGUAAUUUGCAGAGGAUGCUUCGGGAGUGGCCCCCAUCUAAGUGCCCUGGAACGGGCCGUCAUAGAGGGUGAGAAUCCCGUCU